GAAUAAACUAGAAUUAAAAAAAAGCCAACUUUUAAUUUUAACAAAGUUGAACUAUGUCCUAGACAUUUUUUAUAAAGUUUUCAUGAAAUUAUGCAUGUUAGGGCAAGUUGUUUUAUAUGUUAUAAUGUAAUAUAUUUUACAUGUAUAUUUUGUUAAAAGUUUCCAGUGUGACAGCUUAACCCACAAAGUGUGGCAAUAUUUAUUUCCUGGGCAAUAUUUUUCAAGGUGUACAAACAGAAAUAGACAUUUGAAAAAUCAAGCUACACUUAAGUAAAAAGUGUGACAAUUAGCCCCAGUUCCUGUUUAUAUUACUGCAAGUUACACAGGGUUCAUUUCAUAAGAGUAAUGUUUGGAUCAGAAUUGGUUCAUAAUGCUGAAGUCAUGCUUUGAAAGGCAACCCUGACAUCCAAUGAGGUCUUAUGGGCUACUGAUGAAAGAUCUGUGUUCAUCUGAUCUCCAUAACCAUCAUUCAUCCAGAACCAACACAAUUAGAUUUAUUAGCCUUCAUACCUCAAUAAAGACUUUUAAGAUAUGGCAUGUUAUUAGUACACUUUUAAUAGAGCUCUAUAAGUUGUGAUUCAAUGGCUUUGUUAUAUUUUUCCCUAAAGCACCAAGGAGCAGAGCUUUGUAAAUCAAGGAGCAGAAGGUUGAAUCCAUGUUCCCUAAGGUUUUCCUUCAGUGGUGUGCAGCUCUUUCUAGCUGCGUGGCUGAUCUAGAAGACAGGAUCAACAGAUAAACAGUGGCAAUUAUAUAUAUAUAUUUUUUUUUUUUUUUUGAGUGAUUUUUGUUGUUUUUGGCAUGAUGGAUGAUCCUGCUCUCCUCAUCCUCCUCCUGGAGCAGGGUGAGCGCUCUCUUGAGGACCACACAAGAGACUUUUUGGACCUUGCCAACCAAACACACUACCUGGAUAACUGCCUCACCACGUUCUACCAUGUGGGACUAAACACCACCGUUAAGGCAAAGUUGUCUGGGGACGGUCCUCGAGAGAGCCUAGCCGCCUAUGUGGAGUGGGUGCUGGUAAAUAACAACUCGCUGCUGACUCCCUGCUACCUAGAUGAGGAACUCACCAGCCCCACUCCUGAGCCAGCCAUCAUACCAGCACAUCACCGAGUGUGAGCACGAGCCCACCUCAGACACGGAGGUGUGAUCGAAGAGCCUGAGGAAACAGAGCCAAUCACCGCCCCGGAGCCCACGCCCGCCAAUAAGUCUGAAAGUGAAAGUGAAAGUGAAGUGACGUGUGGCCGAAUAUAGUGAGCCAUAUUCGGAAUUUGUGCUCUGCAUUUAACCCUUCCAAGUGCACACACACAGUAGUGAACACACACACACCUGGAGUGAACUAGGUGUGCGAACCGGCCACAACAUUGGAGUAUUCAUGGAAGACGAGGUAAAAGAGGAAAGCCACACCCACAUCUCCACUGCUGAGGGUGAGCUGCAGCUGGUUUCUGUGAAUUCUCUUUCUUAUUCUUUGUCUGUGUCAAGUAUUGCUUGUUUUGAUUUCUUGCUUGUUCUGUCCAACCCUUAGCCUUUUGAUCCCUCGCUAGUUCCAGCACUGAAUUCUCUUGAAGUCUCUUAAACUCCCACCCAGCCUCCCUAUCCCACCUCUGCCUUCUUGUAUCUGGUUUUCAGUUCCUGUCCCAUCACCUGUCUGUCUUUCUGUUAACUCUAUGCCAGCUGCAGCUUAUGCCAUUACCAUCCAGCCUCAAGAUCAUCUUCAUCUAUCUGGGACUAUCCUGCUGUUGGCACUUGUGGACCUCAUCACCACUUCUGUACAGCCUUCGUCUAGCACCUACCCAUCUCCCAGAUGCACACCCUCAGUCUGCAUCUGCCUAUGUGGGUUCACAUCGGGGCUUCCUUCCAUCAGCUCCGCCUUGGUGUGAGGUUCCUCUGUCUCCGCCUUGGUUCCUAGCUUCCUCGUCUCCACCAUGGCCCCUCAUCCCAACGGCUCCACUAGGCUCCCUUCUCCAUCCUGCUCAACCUUGGUCAGUCAUUGACCAUCCGCUGCCUCGGGAUUGCAUUCCUCUGGCUUUGCCUUGUCAUUCCACCCCUCUGGCUCUGUCAGACUCCUCCUUCCCUCUGUCUUCGCCUUUGUCCUCAGUUGCUCCGGCUCCACCACGGUCCAGGCUCAGCGUCUGAUCGGCUCCACCUGGGUCACUAUUGCUGCCGGCCUCAUUGCAGGAGCUUGCACCCCCAGGAUCCUCCGCCCAGGCAUCAUCCAUGGCUCCUCCCUCCUGCAUCUACACCUGGUCUCCACAGCGCGAGGUCGGGCCUUCCGGGAGGGGGCGUUCUGUCACAGUCUUGUCUUUGUUUUAGUCUUCCCUGUUUGGCCUAGUUUUCCCUCAUGUGUCGGAUUAGUUAUCUCUCUCACCUGUAAUUGUUAAUUAUCUCAUUAAUCCUCUGCCUUAUUUAAACCCUAGGCUCAUUUGAGAUGAGCAAAAGUUGCACAGAACCGAUCACAGCAAGAUGCAUGCAAGUUAGAAAUGUGUCCCAGUGCAGUCCGCCUUGCUCUGAUGUUAUGCUGACGAAUGCCAAAAAUCUCUCGCCAGAUCCGUCGUGCAGUGGAGCGCAGUUGCUCUCCCCCAGCUGCGCUGACCAAAAGCAUGAUGGGAAAUGACUUGCUGACAUCACAGUUUAAUGCUCAUUGGUUCAAACAACCGUGAGGUUGCGUUCUCUUCUAAAAUGUUUUAUUUUUUUAUCUGAUAUCAUGUGAUUGUUUAAAUUAUGCAUGAAUAUUCCCAAACACUAUGACAGUGCAAUUUCUGUGUGAGAUAUGUAGUUGUUGUCAUGUUUCUGAAAAAUACUAAAAUACAUGUAUGUAUUAAAGUAAAAAUGGAUGAUAAAUACGUCUUUUGAAU
Long non-coding RNA from Cyprinus carpio carpio, 2852 nucleotides. NCBI's taxonomy places the organism in Eukaryota, Metazoa, Chordata, Actinopteri, Cypriniformes, Cyprinidae. The record is from Ensembl.